This 384-nucleotide ribosomal RNA is filed under the name Triticum aestivum (bread wheat). RNAcentral's name for it is "partial small subunit ribosomal RNA". The record is from RNAcentral. Lineage: Eukaryota; Viridiplantae; Streptophyta; Magnoliopsida; Poales; Poaceae.
AUGAGUAUCAUCUGUUGGAACUAUCGAGGUGUGGGCAAAGCCUCGACAGUUCGUGAACUUCGCGAGAUCGUGAAGAACUUUGCCCCUACCUUGCUUUGUAUUCUAGAAACUCAAAUAGACAAAGGUAGGGUAGAAAGUCUAGCUACUUCAAUUGGUUUUGAUAAAGGUUAUGCUGUGAGCAGUGUUGGUAGAAGCGGAGGCAUUGGUUUGUUUUGGAAUAAUACAAUUAAUAUUGAUAUUUCUGGCUAUUCUGACUAUCAUUUGGAUUGCGAGGUGCGUGACCCGGGUUUUGACCCGUGGAGGCUGACUCUGGUGUAUGGCGAGGCUCAAACUCAAUUGAGACAUCAGACUUGGGAAACUAUCACCGGGGGCGCCCCCACCUAG